This 293-nucleotide ribosomal RNA is filed under the name uncultured prokaryote. RNAcentral's name for it is "partial 16S ribosomal RNA". It matches the Rfam family "Archaeal small subunit ribosomal RNA", at positions 455 to 747 of the family's 1478-position model. The record is from RNAcentral.
GUGUCAGCCGCCGCGGUAAUACCGGCAGCACGAGUGAUGGCCGCUAUUAUUGGGCCUAAAGCGUCCGUAGCUGGCCACGCAAGUUCGUCGGGAAAUCUGCGCGCUUAACGCGCAGGCGUCCGGUGGAAACUGUUCGGCUUGGGACCGGAAGACCUGAGGGGUACGUCCGGGGUAGGAGUGAAAUCCUGUAAUCCUGGACGGACCACCGGUGGCGAAAGCGCCUCAGGAAGACGGAUCCGACGGUGAGGGACGAAAGCUCGGGUCUCGAACCGGAUUAGAAACCCCCGUAGUCC